CAGUCGCCGCGGGAAUACGGAGGGUGCAAGCGUUAAUCGGAAUUACUGGGCGUAAAGCGCACGCAGGCGGUCUGCCAAGUCAGAUGUGAAAUCCCCGGGCUUAACCUGGGAACUGCAUUUGAAACUGGCAGGCUAGAGUCUUGUAGAGGGGGGUAGAAUUCCAGGUGUAGCGGUGAAAUGCGUAGAGAUCUGGAGGAAUACCGGUGGCGAAGGCGGCCCCCUGGACAAAGACUGACGCUCAGGUGCGAAAGCGUGGGGAGCAAACAGGAUUAGAUACCCGCGUAGUCCCUGUCUCUUAUAC
RNAcentral lists this ribosomal RNA (301 nucleotides) under uncultured bacterium. Its description in RNAcentral is "partial 16S ribosomal RNA". It matches the Rfam family "Bacterial small subunit ribosomal RNA", at positions 509 to 807 of the family's 1533-position model. The record is from RNAcentral.